AGUAACGCGUAGGAAUGUACCCCAAAGUGAGGGAUAAUCCACCGAAAGGUGGACUAAUACCGCAUAUUAUCUUCGGAUCAAAGCAGCAAUGCGCUUUGGGAACAGCCUGCGUCUGAUUAGCUAGUUGGUGAGGUAAUGGCUCACCAAGGCGACGAUCGGUAGCUGGUCUGAGAGGAUGAUCAGCCAGACUGGGACUGAGACACGGCCCAG
RNAcentral lists this ribosomal RNA (210 nucleotides) under uncultured bacterium. RNAcentral's name for it is "partial 16S ribosomal RNA". It matches the Rfam family "Bacterial small subunit ribosomal RNA", at positions 109 to 334 of the family's 1533-position model. The record is from RNAcentral.